CAUUGCGUAAGUGUGCGUGCAUGUUGGACCAAUCAGUCGCGAGCAAGCGCUCGCAAACGCACACAUUUAGUGUACCUUACUUAUACCGAUAGGACUUAAACACAAGCAUAAGCCACUCGCCUUCGUGAAUUGUAAGAACUAUAAUUUUGUACCUAAA
Long non-coding RNA from Maniola jurtina (meadow brown), 157 nucleotides. RefSeq lists it as uncharacterized. The record is from RefSeq and is a predicted model, not a curated record. NCBI's taxonomy places the organism in Eukaryota, Metazoa, Arthropoda, Insecta, Lepidoptera, Nymphalidae. The transcript has 3 exons.